CAGUAGCCGCGGUAAUACGAAGGGUGCAAGCGUUACUCGGAAUUACUGGGCGUAAAGCGUGCGUAGGUGGUGGUUUAAGUCCGUUGUGAAAGCCCUGGGCUCAACCUGGGAAUUGCAGUGGAUACUGGGUCACUAGAGUGUGGUAGAGGAUAGUGGAAUUUCCGGUGUAGCAGUGAAAUGCGUAGAGAUCGGAAGGAACAUCUGUGGCGAAGGCGACUAUCUGGGCCAACACUGACACUGAGGCAUGAAAGCGUGGGGAGCAAACAGGAUUAGAUACCCCUGUAGUCCCUGUCUCUUAUAC
RNAcentral lists this ribosomal RNA (301 nucleotides) under uncultured bacterium. Its description in RNAcentral is "partial 16S ribosomal RNA". It matches the Rfam family "Bacterial small subunit ribosomal RNA", at positions 509 to 807 of the family's 1533-position model. The record is from RNAcentral.